This 756-nucleotide ribosomal RNA is filed under the name Candidatus Accumulibacter phosphatis. Its description in RNAcentral is "bacterial LSU rRNA". It matches the Rfam family "Bacterial large subunit ribosomal RNA", at positions 843 to 1602 of the family's 2925-position model. Lineage: Bacteria; Pseudomonadati; Pseudomonadota; Betaproteobacteria. The record is from RNAcentral.
AAAUAGCUGGUUCUCUCCGAAAACUAUUUAGGUAGUGCCUCAAGUAUCACCAACGGGGGUAAAGCACUGUUAUGGCUAGGGGGUCAUCGCGACUUACCAAACCAUUGCAAACUCAGAAUACCGUUGAGUGAGAGCUUGGGAGACAGACAUCGGGUGCUAACGUCCGGUGUCGAAAGGGAAACAACCCAGACCGCCGAUUAAGGUCCCCAAGCCAUAGUUAAGUGGGAAACGAGGUGGGAAGGCUCAGACAGCCAGGAGGUUGGCUUAGAAGCAGCCAUCCUUUAAAGAAAGCGUAAUAGCUCACUGGUCGAGUCGUCCUGCGCGGAAGAUGUAACGGGGCUCAAACUAUGCACCGAAAUCGCGGAUAUCCGUAAGGAUAUGGUAGGAGAGCGUUCUGUAAGCCGAUGAAGGUGUCUUGAGAAGGAUGCUGGAGGUAUCAGAAGUGCGAAUGCUGACAUGAGUAGCGAUAAAGGGAGUGAAAAAGCUCCCCUCGCCAAAAGCCCAAGGUUUCCUGCGCAACGUUCAUCGGCGCAGGGUGAGUCGGCCCCUAAGGCGAGGCUGAAAAGCGUAGUCGAUGGGAAACAGGUCAAUAUUCCUGUACCUCUUUGUAAUGCGAUGGGGGGACGGAGAAGGUUAGGUCAGCCGGGUGUUGGACGUCCCGGUUCAAGCGUGUAGGCAGACCUCUUAGGCAAAUCCGGGGGGUCAAUGCUGAGGCGUGAUAACGAGUGGUCUUGUACCGCGAAGUGAUUGAUACCA